Molecule: ribosomal RNA, 253 nt
Filed under: uncultured bacterium
Lineage: Bacteria
Description: partial 16S ribosomal RNA
Rfam family: Bacterial small subunit ribosomal RNA
Source: RNAcentral
UACGAAGGGGGCUAGCGUUGCUCGGAAUGACUGGGCGUAAAGGGCGCGUAGGCGGCGGGGUAAGUCGGGUGUGAAAUCUCAGAGCUCAACUCUGAAACUGCACUCGAUACUGCUCUGCUUGAGGACUGGAGAGGAGACUGGAAUUCACGGUGUAGCAGUGAAAUGCGUAGAUAUCGUGAGGAAGACCAGUGGCGAAGGCGGGUCUCUGGACAGUUCCUGACGCUGAGGCGCGAAGGCCAGGGGAGCAAACGGG